This 497-nucleotide ribosomal RNA is filed under the name uncultured bacterium. RNAcentral describes it as "partial 16S ribosomal RNA". It matches the Rfam family "Bacterial small subunit ribosomal RNA", at positions 28 to 507 of the family's 1533-position model. The record is from RNAcentral.
GAUGAACGCUGGCGGCGUGCCUAAUACAUGCAAGUCGAGCGAACAGACGAGGAGCUUGCUCCUCUGACGUUAGCGGCGGACGGGUGAGUAACACGUGGAUAACCUACCUAUAAGACUGGGAUAACUUCGGGAAACAGGAGCUAAUACCGGAUAAUAUAUUCAACCGCAUGGUUCAAUAGUGAAAGACGGUUUUGCUGUCACUUAUAGAUGGAUCCGCGCCGCAUUAGCUAGUUGGUAAGGUAACGGCUUACCAAGGCAACGAUGCGUAGCCGACCUGAGAGGGUGAUCGGCCACACUGGAACUGAGACACGGUCCAGACUCCUACGGGAGGCAGCAGUAGGGAAUCUUCCGCAAUGGGCGAAAGCUUGACGGAGCAACGCCGCGUGAGUGAUGAAGGUCUUCGGAUCGUAAAACUCUGUUAUUAGGGAAGAACAAAUGUGUAAGUAACUAUGCACGUCUUGACGGUACCUAAUCAGAAAGCCACGGCUAACUACGUG